CAAAAUAAAUAUCUAUAGCAGCUUAGAGGUAUGUAAAUGGUGGUUUCUUCAUUGUCUUCUCUCUGACGGUGGCGAGAAUGAUGCAGAACUGUAGGCUGUGUGUGCACUGCGGAGGCUCGUCGGAAGCUUGUCUGCCUUGAUGUUCAUUAAACUCUACGGACCCCCUCUUGCGCAAUGGAACCCAGAACGAUAUGCGACCACUUUGUUAUCGCGAUACUGUUCUACCGAGGACACCCAAACCAGAGUGGCCACAGCAAAGCCCAAGGAGCCUGAUCCUCUCUGGAAGUUGCUGUGGCCAUGCUUGGGAUAUUUAACUUAUAUUGGCUAUUGGUUGAGACGCAGGGCCCAUUCUUGCUUGGUAUAUCAGGUUGGGAAAUUGGAAAUGUGAAUUUGACGAAGAUGGAGGACCUGAGCCCUAGGAUCAUGCCUCAGGACUACCUGGCCUGAUGACUCCUGGCUGCCCCCAUUCCACCUGGUUGUGCUGCUGCUCCAGUUUCAACUGUUCUGCCUGCAGCUAUCGAAGCCUGACUUGUUUCACCGGACGUGCUACGUUGUCCCCGACCUGCUGUUUUUGACUCUCUCUUUCUCUCGCACCUGCUGUCUUGACCUCUGAAUGAUCGGCUAUGAAAAGCCAACUGACAUUUACUCCUGAGGUACUGACCUGUUGCACACUCUACAAACACUGUGAUUAUUAUUUGACCCUGUUGGUCAUCUAUGAACGUUUGAACAUCUUGAAGAACAAUCUGGCGUUAAUGGCCAUGUACUCUUAUAAUCUCCUCCCGGCACAGCCAGAAGAGGACUGGCCACCCAUCAGAGCCUGGAUCCUUUCUAGGUUUCUUCUUAGGUUUGUGCCUUUCUAGGGAGUUGAUGAGCUGAUGUAAAAAGAGCUUUAUAAAUAAAUGUGAUUGAUUAAUUGACUUGGAGUUUGCCAAAAGGCUCCUAAAUGGCACCUAAAUGACUCUCAGACCAUGAGAAACAAGAUUCUCUGCUCUGAUGAAACCAAGAUUGAACUCUUUGGCCUGAAUGCCAAGCGUCACGUCUGGAGGAAACCUGGCACCAUCCCUACGGUGAAGCAUGGUGGUGGCAGCAUCAUGUUGUUGGGAUGUUUUUCAGCAGCAGGGACUGGGAGACUAGUCAGGAUCGAGGGAAAGAUGAACGGAGCAAAGUACAGAGAUCCUUGAUGAAAACCUGCUCCAGAGCACUCAGGACCUCAGACUGGGGUGAAGGUUCACCCAAAGACUGGGGUGAAGGUUCACGACCCUAAGCACACAGCCAAGACAGCUCAGGAGUGGCAAGUCUCUGAAUGUCCUCGAGUGGCCCAGCCAGAGCCUGGACUUGAACUCGAUCAAACAUCUCUGGAGAGACCUGAAAAUAGCUGUGCUGCAACGCUCCCCAUCCAACCUGACAGAGCUUGAGAGAAUCGAGACUCAAGGCUGUAAUCGCUGCCAAAGAGGUUUCAACAAAGUACUGAGUAAAGGGCCUGAAUACUUAUGUAAAUGUGAUAUUUCCGUUUUUUGUUUUUAAUACAUUUUCAAACAAAAACGUAUUUUAGUUUUUUUUAUUAUCGGUUAGUGUGUGUAGAUUGAUGAGGGGAAAAAUGAUUUAAUCAAUUUUAGAAUAAGGCUGUAACGUAACAAAAUGUGGAAAAAGUCAAGAGGUCUGAAUACUUUCCGAAUA
This 1677-nucleotide long non-coding RNA is filed under the name Salmo salar (Atlantic salmon). RNAcentral describes it as "lncRNA (ENSSSAG00000105143.1)". Lineage: Eukaryota; Metazoa; Chordata; Actinopteri; Salmoniformes; Salmonidae. The record is from RNAcentral.